UCUAUGCCCGCGCGUUGCUGCGUAAGAACGACAAAUAUUGACUUACAUGUUUUCUUGAAAAAAAUAGCAAGGCAAUAUAUAUGCUCGCCUAGUUUGGAAGUCGCUUGCUGGGUUUUACUUUUUUUGUCUUUAUCUUUACAAUUUCCAAUUUAAAUUCUUAUUUUAUUGAGCUCAGAAUUUGACAUGGGAUAUUUUUAGGGCAUCCCAAUUUUUGCAGAAUACAAUGGUUGUAAACUGACAAGACACGAAGCCAACAAUAUUAAAUCUAUUGAAGUAUUUUCUAGUUAAGCCACACAAACAGACAGGGGAUUCUCAAAGAUCCCUACAUGAUUUUCAUCAUGACAGAUACCCUGGCCAUUGCUCCAUAAUGACAUACCUACCGAGAAUUUAACAAUGCGAGAGGCCACAAUCAGAAACUAUCGAACGGCACAAUUGCCUUGGAGAGGGAAUUCAACGAGUGCGGAACAAGGGAGCAAAUGGAUCAGAACAGAUUCAGAGUAUAUAGAGUUGGAGAUCUGAACCCUGCGAUGCAAGCACUCCUGAUGCACUUUUCUUUGGCACAUGUAGAAGUCUGUCUGCAAACUGUUGUCAGUUUGACUCAAUGCAGUGCUACAGUAUGUCUUUUUCAUGUCUUCUGCUUAUAAUGCAACUGGACAUUCGAAUCAGGCACAUACCAAGCUUUUGUUAAACUCCAUUAGGCCAUAGCUUACAUGAUGAAACAACUUUUACAUGUACUGAACACUUUUCUCAUUAAAAAACUGGGUAGCUUUA
Molecule: long non-coding RNA, 771 nt
Organism: Lolium perenne
Lineage: Eukaryota; Viridiplantae; Streptophyta; Magnoliopsida; Poales; Poaceae
Source: RefSeq, a predicted model, not a curated record